UACAGAGGGUGCAAGCGUUGCUCGGAAUCACUGGGCGUAAAGGGUGCGUAGGCGGGGCUUUAAGUCAGGGGGGAAAUCCUGGAGCUCAACUCCAGAACUGCCUUUGAUACUGAAGAUCUUGAGUCCGGGAGAGGUGAGUGGAACUGCGAGUGUAGAGGUGAAAUUCGUAGAUAUUCGCAAGAACACCAGUGGCGAAGGCGGCUCACUGGCCCGGUACUGACGCUGAGGCACGAAAGCGUGGGGAGCAAACAGG
This 253-nucleotide ribosomal RNA is filed under the name uncultured bacterium. RNAcentral's name for it is "partial 16S ribosomal RNA". It matches the Rfam family "Bacterial small subunit ribosomal RNA", at positions 524 to 776 of the family's 1533-position model. The record is from RNAcentral.